This 540-nucleotide long non-coding RNA is filed under the name Panax ginseng (ginseng). RNAcentral's name for it is "long non-coding RNA (PGIN_LNC014071)". Lineage: Eukaryota; Viridiplantae; Streptophyta; Magnoliopsida; Apiales; Araliaceae. The record is from RNAcentral.
UGGAAGACAAAAUGAAGCUUGCUAUCCAUCCCAAGCAAAUCCAAUAAAAUAGCAAAUCUCUAAGUGACUAUAAUUUUCAAGAAAUGGUUUGUUUACAGGAUGAAAGAAUAUCUUCCUUAUCACGUGUGUAUGGGUUCCUCCCCAUUCCCCCUCCAUGCUUGAUGGAAACUUUUUGUCGGUUUUAAACAUACUAAUAUACUACAAACACAGACACAAAUUUGUUCAUUAAACACAUCGUUGGAUCAACACUAACACUGGUGACAGUUACCACUUGCCACAUUACAAUAGACAACUCCGUUAACAUUCUCCUGGAAACACUUGAAGAUAAGACAUUCCAAAGUAAAAGUUAUUGUUUGCUUUUUUUGUUCAGUCUCCCAAGAACUAGCUAGUUGGUCUGUCUUGCUCGUGCAUAAUGUAAAGUCCACUCAAGAAAUAACACGUGGCUAGAAUGUAAAGACAAAAACGUUGCGAGAAUGUUCAUCAUUAAUCCUUGAUUAUAAUAUUUAAACUAAAAAAUAUAUAUUAUACUUCACCUUGUUC